Fundulus heteroclitus (mummichog) is the source of this 191-nucleotide long non-coding RNA. RefSeq lists it as uncharacterized. The record is from RefSeq and is a predicted model, not a curated record. NCBI's taxonomy places the organism in Eukaryota, Metazoa, Chordata, Actinopteri, Cyprinodontiformes, Fundulidae. The transcript has 3 exons.
GUGUGGGGAAGCUGAGAGCCAGAGCCACGCUCAGAGGAAUCCUAAGAGACUGACAGAAACACAUGAACCAGAAUCCAGCUGUGUGUCCUUUAGGAGCGACAGGUCAAAGGGUGCAUUGAUUGACUUCAAAUCUUCAGGACCUGCAUCCUCAGAGAGGAUUCCUAGGAGACUGACACAUCAACCAGAACCAG